CCUGGCCUCCGACCGUGCUCUGAGCUGACUGAGCCUGUGACCGGUUCAAGGACAGAGUGGAAACCAAAUGUCCCUUCUUUGUUUAUUACCAUAACUACAUCCAGUUUGUGAAAGUUGGCACUGACACACCAGUGCUACAGUGAAUUGAUAUGUAAAUGUUAUAGAAAGCGUUCCUGGAAACACUACC
Molecule: long non-coding RNA, 187 nt
Organism: Lutra lutra (Eurasian river otter)
Lineage: Eukaryota; Metazoa; Chordata; Mammalia; Carnivora; Mustelidae
Exons: 3
Source: RefSeq, a predicted model, not a curated record